RNAcentral lists this ribosomal RNA (457 nucleotides) under uncultured bacterium. Its description in RNAcentral is "bacterial SSU rRNA". It matches the Rfam family "Bacterial small subunit ribosomal RNA", at positions 340 to 786 of the family's 1533-position model. The record is from RNAcentral.
UACGGAAGGCAGCAGUGGGGAAUAUUGCACAAUGGGCGAAAGCCUGAUGCAGCUAUGCCGCGUGUAUGAAGAAGGCCUUAGGGUUGUAAAGUACUUUCAUCGGGGAGGAAAAACCAAAACUAAUAAUUUUAUUUCUUGACGUUACCCGAAAAAGAAGCACCGGCUAACUCCGUGCCAGCAGCCGCGGUAAUACGGAGGGUGCUAGCGUUAAUCAGAAUUACUGGGCGUAAAGAGCACGUAGGUGGUUUUUUUAAAGUCAGAUGUGAAAUCCCUGGGCUUAACCUAGGAACUGCAUUUUGAAACUGAAAUACUAGAGUAUCGUAGAGGGAGGUAGAAUUCUAGGUGUAGCGGUGAAAUGCGUAGAUAUCUGGAGGAAUACCUGUGGCGAAAGCGACCUCCUAAACGAAUACUGACACUGAGGUGCGAAAGCGUGGGGAGCAAACAGGGAUUAGAUACC